GCCACAGCUCAGUGGUAGAGCAUCUGUCUUGCAUGCAGGGGGUCCCAGAUUCAGUUCCCUGGCAUCCUGAGGUA
This is a non-coding RNA of Podarcis lilfordi (Lilford's wall lizard), 74 nucleotides long. The record is from the annotation of a GenBank genome assembly. NCBI's taxonomy places the organism in Eukaryota, Metazoa, Chordata, Lepidosauria, Squamata, Lacertidae.